RNAcentral lists this long non-coding RNA (630 nucleotides) under Dromaius novaehollandiae (emu). RNAcentral describes it as "lncRNA (ENSDNVG00000017675.1)". The record is from RNAcentral. Lineage: Eukaryota; Metazoa; Chordata; Aves; Casuariiformes; Dromaiidae.
UUAACCUUCAAAUUCAUCUUCUUCUAUGGAGCUAGCGCCUGCCUGAGCCUGAUCCAAGACCUGCGCUCAUCAGACACACUGCGAGAGGCUGUGAACCUGCAGCAAUAUCCGACCGCCUCCAUCUUCAGCUAUGCCCACCCGCCUGCACCCCAUGCUCAGCGUAUGCUCCCAAUCCUUGGUGCUUUUCUGAGGUGAAACCCAGAUGCCCAAAAUGUUGAUGCCCAACUCCUUUUGAAGAGGUUGGCAGAGGAGACGAGUCAAAGCCUUCCUUCGGAGCUUGGAGGAGUCAAGCUAAGGCUUCCCGCUGCCCCCAAAGGGCAUUCCCACAGCRAGGAGUGGUUUGAAGGGGGGUGGCUGGGCUUUCCACACCUGGAGCAGUGAGAAGAGUCUCCCCUGGCAGGUCCGUUCAGUAUGCUGCCAUGCUGGCCACCGCCUUAUCCCGGCCCACCAGAGGAACCUCCRCCCUACUCUGAAGUGGACGCAGCCAGCCCAGGGGAGAACCCAGUGCACAGUUGCUGCUGCAGCAUCCUGAAGGGAGGACAGGAGGACAGACCGAACUGAGGACUCGGCGUGGAAAUKUACAGGCACCGACUCACCCCCUGCUUUUCCCUCCGCAGCAGGACUCAGCCA